UACGGAGGGUGCGAGCGUUGUCCGGAAUCACUGGGCGUAAAGGGCGCGUAGGCGGCUCGUGAAGUCAGUGGUGAAAGCCCAGGCUCAACUCUGGGUCGGCCACUGAUACUCGCGAGCUCGAGUUUGGUAGAGGCAGAUGGAAUUCCGGGUGUAGCGGUGGAAUGCGUAGAGAUCCGGAGGAACACCAAAGGCGAAGGCAGUGUCCUGGGGAGUACCUGACGCUCAGGUGCGAAAGCCAGGGGAGCGAACGGG
This 252-nucleotide ribosomal RNA is filed under the name uncultured bacterium. RNAcentral describes it as "partial 16S ribosomal RNA". It matches the Rfam family "Bacterial small subunit ribosomal RNA", at positions 524 to 776 of the family's 1533-position model. The record is from RNAcentral.